AGAGUUUGAUCCUGGCUCAGGAUGAACGCUGGCUGUGUGCCUAAUACAUGCAUGUUGAACGAAACACUUUUGUGUUGAGUAGCGAAUGGGUGAGUAACACGUACUUAACCUACCCCCAAGAUUGGGACAACGUCUGGAAACGGGCGCUAAUACCAAAUACGUAUUUUUAUCGCAUGAUAGAAAUAUAAAAGGAGCUUUGGCUUCACUAGGGGAUGGGAGUGCGCUACAUUAGUUAGUUGGUAGGGUAAUGGCCUACCAAGACUAUGAUGUAUAGCGGGGCCGAGAGGCUGAUCCGCCACACUGGGACUGAGAUACGGCCCAGACUCCUACGGGAGGCAGCAGUAGGGAAUUUUCCACAAUGAACGAAAGUUUGAUGGAGCGACACAGCGUGCAGGAUGAAGGUCUUCGGAUCGUAAACUGCUGUUAUAAGAGAAGAAAAAAUUUGGGAGGUAAUGCCCAAAUCUUGACGGUACCUUAUCAGAAAGCGACGGCUAACUAUGUGCCAGCAGCCGCGGUAAUAAU
RNAcentral lists this ribosomal RNA (522 nucleotides) under uncultured bacterium. RNAcentral's name for it is "bacterial SSU rRNA". It matches the Rfam family "Bacterial small subunit ribosomal RNA", at positions 8 to 528 of the family's 1533-position model. The record is from RNAcentral.